RNAcentral lists this ribosomal RNA (305 nucleotides) under uncultured bacterium. RNAcentral describes it as "bacterial SSU rRNA". It matches the Rfam family "Bacterial small subunit ribosomal RNA", at positions 338 to 659 of the family's 1533-position model. The record is from RNAcentral.
CCUACGGGACGCAGCAGUGGGGGAUAUUGCACAGUGGGGGAAACCCUGAUGCAGCGACGCCGCGUGAGUGAAGAAGUAUUUCGGUACGUAAAGCUCUAUCAGCAGGGAAGAAUAAUGACGGUACCUGACUAAGAAGCCCCGGCUAACUACGUGCCAGCAGCCGCGGUAAUACGUAGGGAGCAAGCGUUAUCCGGAUUUAUUGGGUGUAAAGGGUGCGUAGACGGGAAUUUAAGUUAGUUGUGAAAUCCCUCGGCUUAACUGAGGAACUGCAACUAAAACUGAAUUUCUUGAGUGCGGGAGAGGAA